Molecule: unclassified non-coding RNA, 357 nt
Filed under: Hevea brasiliensis (rubber tree)
Lineage: Eukaryota; Viridiplantae; Streptophyta; Magnoliopsida; Malpighiales; Euphorbiaceae
Source: RNAcentral
UUCCACAUAAACCUUGAGACGGAUGUGAGAGAAAAUAUGAACAAAUUCUCCAAUGUGUUCCCUCAGAACCAUGCUACAUGUCUUUUGCGGGUCAAGUCUGAAGACUUUUUUCAGGAAGUGAUCAAUUUCUUUUUUCCUUGUGGUUAAAUCAGCUUCUUGGCUCAUAUUGACAGUGGNNNNNNNNNNNNNGACCAGCAAGCAGACCAUUGUCUGGCCUCUUUACAAGAAGAAAUCCACUAUCAGAUUGGUCACCCUCAAUUGGACCUUUGGUUCCUAAUAUCUCCACAACACAAACAGCAGAAAUUUCACGUCUUUGUUUCACCUUUACAACCUUCGUUGGAUAAUCUGUAACCAAUA